Long non-coding RNA from Pecten maximus, 4523 nucleotides. RefSeq lists it as uncharacterized. The transcript is spliced from 2 exons. Lineage: Eukaryota; Metazoa; Mollusca; Bivalvia; Pectinida; Pectinidae. The record is from RefSeq and is a predicted model, not a curated record.
UUGGUCGCUUUCGGUCCGAUGUCGCACACACUUAUUAACUAACAGGAUAAACAUGUGUACUCUGCAGUGUCCUAGGCUCGGUUAUAACCGGAACAAGGACGUUAAGCCCCAACAAUCAAUCAAUGUGUACUCUACAUGUGGACUCUAGUAGGCCGUACGGGCUCACACCUGCGAACGCUUGACCAAGUCGUCCCAUCUACAAAUAUAAUGAGCGCUAAAUAGAUAUUCAUGAUUCUAGAUGAAGUCGCAUCUUUCAAUCAAGCAGCGGUUUCGGCACAAGGGUCUAGAUAUGCUUAGUGGGACAUUUCGGUACGCAUAUCUGCUUUCAAUGGAUGUUUCGGGGCGUUUCGGUACCAACACAAUGCAAGUCUAAGACGUUUCGGUUUUGUUCUGCUUCGGCGCCGUAUUCCGUUAUAUCUUCAAUUAAAGAUGGCGGUUCUAUUACCAGACGAAAUCGAUGUGAAAGAUUGCUUUAUGGAUGAUAGUUGCGUUAAGAUGCCAUUAAGGGCCAUAAUAUUGGCAAUGCUGUAUGGGUUGAUAUUUGAAAUAUUGUCAUGAAUUGGUUCCUGGCUGUUAUUUGGAAUCAUAGACGUUUCGGCACUUGGAUGAUUCGGCACGUUUCUAUUAAUUUUGUUACUUACGUUGAAAAUACAUUUAUUUAGAGAAAAUAUCUCGAGCCCGACACGAUUUGUUCUCUUCCGUUCUUCUGAGAAGAGGUCUUCCGAGUUAUCAAAUCGUGUGUAUUCGGAAGACAACAUGGCGGAUGUGACGAGUGUGUUGACGGGUGUUGGCGUAACACUUUCGUCAAUUCUGCUGAUUGAGGGCCAGGAAGUGGACAGUGCAUUCAAUGAGACAGAUUUAGUCGUUCUAACGGUCGCAGGUGCCACUUUAAUCCGGGAUGAUCGAGUGAAAAUAUGUGGCUAUGUUGAUGUUGUUGAUAACUAUCUACCUGAUCAGUUCAAGAGCUUUCCCGAGAAACUUUUCAGUUUGUCUUAAGAUGUUUAAUGGAUUGUCCUGAGCUUGCCAUGAGUCAGAAGGGGGCUGGCAGACCUCAAAUUCAAUUGGAAAAGGAUCUUCUUAUGUCCCUUUGGUAUAUUGGGUCCCAGGAAAAUAUCAAGUCCAUUGCAGAUCGAUUCAACGUUCAAGAAUCUACAUUUGUUACGCACAACCGCAGGCUACUCAAUGUACUCAGUCAUUCUACAAGCUGUGUGUAAAUAUGACCGUGUCUUCACAGACAUAUAUUGCGGAUCUUCUUAUGUUGUAUCGUACUCGCUUCCUGAAGUGUACAUAAUGGUUUCAUCACAUGAGCUGAUGCGACCUGAAAUUAAUGUUGUUUUUUUUACUAUAACAGUCGGAGUAUUAUGUAAGUACAGUAUUUAUACAGUCGACAUUAGGGAUAGACGAAAAUAGCAUGAAUUUAUAUCCUACACUACAACUGCAGGCGAUUUAGAUUCACUGGAGAUAUUUUACUAGUCGCUCUACUUCGCAUACAAUGGUAAUUCGUUAAACGUGUUAACAUAUGUAUACAAACUCAUAUUAAACUUUAUCAUUUUUUCAUUUUUUUUCAACAAGUUUGGUGAUUGCAUUUGUCAUAUCCUUUAGUAAAUUUAUUUGUUCUUCAUGCCUCCUUUCCUGUCGUUUACGGGAUUCAUCAACUGAUUCCGUAUACUUCUCCAGACACACUUUUCCUUUUCUUUUCCCAUUUCUUUUCGUUUUGUACCUUGCUCAGGGGAUGUGUCUACGUCGCUGUCUGACCCAAUCGACGCUGAUGCAGCUGCAGUUGAAGAUGACGAGGUUGCAGGUGCUGAUGAUGCAAACAAAAAUGUAGGAGUUGUUGAAUGGUUUUCACCCAUUAUAUCAUCCAUUUCUGCUUCAUAAUCGUAGGUUUUUCUUCCUUCCCCAGUCUGCUUUUGGCAGUCUUUGAAGUGGCGGUAACGGGCUAAUACUGUUUUCCAUUUCCCUUCCACCUGUGUACUGACAAAAUUAGAGUUGGUCGUGGCGUUUAUAAAGUUUGUCAUUUCCUCCCAUAACCUUUUAUUUUUAAAAGCUGGGUUAUGGAAUCGGUCUUGCAUGUUUUUAUACUCAGCCAACAACUCUCGUUUUUGUGUCGUUCCAAAUGUUGUUGGCCAUGGGUGUACUGCUGAUGGAUGUGGCGAUGUUUGAAUUUGAUGAACUUUCCAUGGCUUCUGGUCCUGAAAUUGGAGACAUAAAUUUUAAAAAUACAAAAAGUUUUAACGUUAUAAUUAAGAACUAGAUCUAGGCCUAGUCCGCAAAUACAUCUAGGCCUAGUCCGCAAAUACAUGCGAGUGACAUGAUCCACUUUAUAGUGUAAUUGAAAUAUCUUUUGGGUGGGUAGUUACUAGUAUUUUCAUGAUUUUGAUGGUUACGUAAGGAAAUGGGAAACAAAGAUUUUAGGGGCGAGGAAGUUAGGCGACACACCUUUUACUAAUUAAUGUAUGUUAGGGAUGGAGGUGUUAGCAAUGAUGCACUUUAUAAUAUAAUUAGAAGUAAUGCCUCUUUGACCCUGCCUCCCCUUUCAUUGCAUAUAUACAUGUAUAUUAUUAUUUGUCUGUUUAAAAAAAAACAUGCUUGGGCUUGGUCGAAACAAUAUGCUGACAUUCUGGUCGAAUUUGAUCUUAUGAAAUCUGAAAAUGUGUUCAUAAAUCAUUAAAUGAUCUGAUAGUUUAAAUUUCCCUUGAUACACAAUGUAUUAAAUACAACUUUUAGUUGAAGUUAAAUAAUAUUUUAAUUGUAACAUAAUAAAGUUUUGUGCGGGCACGUGCCUGAAGUGCAUAAAGGCCGCUACGACGAUCCUGGCUCUAAUAUCAGUCUAAUAUUAGGUCCCUAGUCCGUUUAAAUCUUAAGUGACAUAACAUUCAUAAAAUAUAACUUAUCUGCACAAUCAUGUGCAUCAAAUGCUGAGAGAGUGUAGAAGUGGACAUUGCAUUCUGAGCAUUUGUAUACUGUGUCCGCCAUGUUUUCUUCUGGGUCUUCUAGCUUUGCAGCGGAAGUACUUUGAUUUUUAAGUAGCACGCUUUUCUAACCAACGUAUCUUUUGGCAAAGCUGGCACCUUCUAAUAUAGAAUUCGUUGAAGCCUGAAUCAUCCAGUGAUUUCUUUUGUUUGGAGUUGGGUGUAAUCUUGGAAGCUGAAGUAAAUUUGACAUCGUAUUUGAUACGAUUCCGGAACAUGCGAUCCUCAUUACAUUGUGGUCCAACUGAUUCGAAUGUCUUGAAUAGUUUUUUCUUGGCUCUCCGUGAACAACUUAUCUGGAUUGACCAAGAAUUCUGCUUAGGCAUUCUCAGCUUAGCUCCGAGUCCAAAUUUGCAGGAAAGUUGUUUGUCUGUAGUACUUGAUGUUCCCUGUCGAUAGUAAUGAAGUCUUUGCAUGUUGAUGACAUCCAAAAAUGACUGAGGACCUUUGUUUGGCUCCAAACUUUCUGCCUGAGGGAAACAGCGAUUUCUUGCGUAGUAAUCACUUACUUUAUAUAACAGCAGAAGCAACUUUCGUCAUUCAAGGCCAGGGUCGUUUAGUUUUGCAAUCCUCUUGAAACGAAUCGAGGAGUACCAUCGAAAUGCUUGACAUGUUUCAGCUGAUGGCACACCACGAUUGAGUCGAGUGUGGUGGAAAAAAUCGCAUCUGAAUCAUCAUAAAUAGUGAAUUUGACUUUGCAUUUAAGGCAAUCGUAGUAUUCCCAAUGGCCUUGUGAAGACACACGAAUCUGAUUAUACAGACAAUACUCUCAAAGAUCCAUUUUGUUGUUGCAAAUCCUCAAUUGUUAAGGAUGCUUUCCUUUUUAAAUCAGUGUCAUGCAGAUCCAAUGGAUCAUUUUCCGAUACAGGCAAUUCUGAUUGAAUUUCAUCAGCAGCAUUCCUGAUGAGUUCCUUAGAAAAGAAUACAGUAACGGGGCCAGGAACAGAUUGAUCUAGGGCAUUCAUUUAGAUACUUACAGAUUAGCACUUUAUUCAAAAUUUAGAGUUUGGUUUGAUUUAUUUUGUUUAAUGUCCUAUUAAUUCAAAAUUUAGAGAAGGCUAGGUUUAUUAUUUAAAAAGAAUUUUUAUAUGACGUUUCACGACGGGCAAAUCGGAUCUGGAAAAUUCCACGAAACUUAAAUUCAAUUAAACGGAAAUCCAUUUCUGCCGUGGGUGAUCCAUCGCAACCUGGGUACAUUUCGUUAAAGGCUGGUCUGGUAGUGGUUUUGGUUUUAUUUGUUUAACGUCCUAUCAAUAGCUAAGGACGGCCUCCAGUGCGUGCGAUACGCAUGUGUGUGAUAAGUGCGUAUGUGUGUUUUGGGAGGCUGCGGUAUGUUUGUGUUGAAGUCUCCUUGUGAUAGGCCGGACCUUUUGCCGAUUUAUAGUUCCCUGGUAGUUGUACUGUAUAUCUAGUGUAAGGUUGAUUUUGCCAUUUAAACUCGUUUUCGUAGUGCUGAUUUUGGUUUCAAUUUUAAUAGCAUAUACCUAUAUAGUAAUAUGUAAUGUAUGUAAUUUAAUUUAAGUAAUUAUCAAAUAAACGGAAACUGCUCUU